Pantherophis guttatus is the source of this 1024-nucleotide non-coding RNA. The record is from RefSeq and is a predicted model, not a curated record. NCBI's taxonomy places the organism in Eukaryota, Metazoa, Chordata, Lepidosauria, Squamata, Colubridae.
GCCCGAACAGCGGCCUCCGGGGGCGGCGUUGUUCAUACACCUCAAGGGGUGGUUCAACCGCCACCGCCCUACGGCGGGGAGGAAGGGAGAGAGAGAUAGACGGUGGUGGAGAAUUUUAAUCGAAAGGGAUGAAACCUAUUCUUCGGCCGAGGACUUCUGAAUGGGAGACCAGGAGGAAACUAAUUUGUCCUGCCAAACUGCCUGGGGGGGGGAGGGGGGGAUCAAUCUAGGACUUAACGUUUUUAAUGCCUCUCUAGUGUGAGAAGAACUAUCGACAAAUAGUCACUACGAUUUGUGAACCACUUCGGUAUCCGUUCGUGCGAUUUUUGCCAGGCUUAACUGCUUUCGAAUUAGAAAAGUACAGGGUGCUUUGUCAAGUAAUUUUUAAUUGGAAUAAAGAGGAGAUGAGAAAAUGAAAUAUUGGAUUUCUGGGAAUUGCACUGUUUUCAAGGCACUUACACAUACUUUUUUAAAAGGAUCUGCGCUAGAAUGUCUGAUUGGCUGGAUCAUUGAAUGCUACAUUUUCUUUUUCCCACUUUUCAAACACAAGACAGUUGUUCUCUCUUCCCAUCUCUUCAGGAUCACGGUGGUCCCGUCAGAAGAUAAUCUUUCAGUACCUUAGGGGCGGGCGCAAUUCAUCAGGUCUUGGUGAUUUAAACUCAAAGUUAAAAAAAAAAUCCUGGCCAUGUUUUAUCACUUUCAAGAUCAGUCCUACUCUUGUUAUGCUCCUUGCUUUUUUUGAGGAACAGGAAUUGUUUUUGAGAAGACUGGAGUUGAGUAGUUCCACCUUUUUGGUUUCUGAUUUUUUUUUUUCUGUAAUGUUAUAUAUCUAAAGCAGUCCUUUUGUUGUUAUUAGGAUAUCUUACUAAUAUUAAGCUUAGUUUGAACUUUUGUUUCCUUGAUACAAGUUCUAUAGUUCUGGCUAUUUGUCUGUACUAUUGCUUUCUAAUCUAAUCCUUUUUCCAUUUAUUGUAUGCUGAUCGAAUUAUGAUGAACUGAAGUGGGAAAUAAAAAUGCAGCUUCA